Physcomitrium patens is the source of this 3757-nucleotide non-coding RNA. NCBI's taxonomy places the organism in Eukaryota, Viridiplantae, Streptophyta, Bryopsida, Funariales, Funariaceae. The record is from RefSeq and is a predicted model, not a curated record.
UGUUCUUUUUAUACAUAAAUUGAUUUGAAGAGCGCUUUGCGACCAGUCAUGGAUGCUCCGCAAUCCCCGUGUCGUCGUGUUAGAAUUGCGUCUCGCAGCCGCCUGACCGGUUCUUCGUCACAGAAUCCGGGCCGUCUCGCAAUCCGUUUCACUUGUUCUCCUUCGCAUGUCGUUUCUCGCCACUUUCCGGCCCCCGCCACCAAAUCUGGUUUCGUCAGUCUGCGUCGGGUCUCGAGGAUCUCGCUGGCAGUCUAGUUGCUGCCUGCGGUGCCGUGUUGCGUCUUGGAAGCUGAGAAAUGUGGGAAUUGAGUGUUCCAGUAAUUUUUUACAGAUGUUGAGCUUUUUGUGUAGUUGUCGUGCAGUUGUGAUUUUCUCAUGCCCUCGUGAAGUGCUUGAGGGUUGACAUUGGAAUUUCUUCAGGGAGAGGCCUUGAGGUCAUGAUUAAGGCGUAGGAUCACGGAGAUUUUCGAAGUGCAAUUUUUUAUUUGUGUUCAAAUAAAAUGGAUAUCUUUUUGGAAACCCUGAGUUGGAAGAGAGGGGGGAGAGUUUUGGAGGAUGUACCUUCCGUUUUGAGCAGUUCGGUGCUAAUUCUUAGGGUCUGGUAAGGAGAGAACGAGGAGGAUCGUCUCAUGACCUGUUGCUUCUUCUAGGUGAGGACUGUCUCUUGGCCUGGAAUUACAAAUUUUGAUCGUUGCAGUGAGAAGGCUUGGAAAAGAGUCACACAGGCUGCUUGAGACGGUGUUAAUCGUGAGCGUUCGCAGAGAAGCGUGCAGGUGGAAAACUGUCUGCGAAGGAGUGCAUUACUUUUCCAAUUUCAUAGCCGUAGUGUGCUAGGAUCGGGAUAUUUAUCCUUGUUGGCUAGGAGAGUUUGAAGGGCCCUAUUAUUAGGUUCUGAACCCUUUUCUUUUUGUCCUCUCCUGUCAUAGCUUCAAUCAAUACUCACCUACCCUGGAAAACUUCGAAGGCAAGAACUCCCUCCUCGUGAAGUCUCCUCUGCAGCUUUUGCACCUUGUCUCUCUUGGAACUUUGUCUACCUCAGUGAUUUUAGCAGUGUUGAUUGAUUCCAGCCUUGCUUACCCAAGUAGUAGAAAUGCACCGAGAGGUUUUGAGUCUCGGUCUUGUGUCAGCAUGACAGCCUAGUCGUUAGGAUGAAAAAUGUGGCAGGUGGAUUCUAGUCCAGACCUAAUGGGUGAAGUCUUGGACGCAGAACAUGAGAUGUGAAGCCUUGUGGUGCUGUGAAAAUCUUAUGCAGCUAUAUCCGCCUGGCCGUUGUUGUAUUACUGCUGCUGUUCUCAUCAAUAAUUUCCUGGGAGGAGAAGAGAAAUUUUUUUAGCUAUUUUAGCAAGGGGGAGGAGCAAGUUGCUUUUGAGUAUGGACCGUUCUUUGUAUGAACGACCUGAGAAGCGCGCCCGGCUAACGUUAGUUGAGGACAAUGUUUCCUGGGUUGACAUUUAUGAUGAAGAACAUCAGGUAGCGGUUAACAGUGGACACUUCGAACAAAUGGGAUUGGGAAGAGGAGUACCACCAGCUGCUAUGGGGAACAGUCCAGAAUCCUACAAUGGAUAUCCCAGGGUAUACUCUCCAGUAUGGCGGGACGAUGAUAAAGAUGGGCACUACAUGUUUGAGCUGGGAGAAAAUAUAACACCACGCUGUACUUUUGGUAGGGUGUUGGAGUGUUGGGACAGGGAGGUCCAGGAGUAUGUGGCUAUCAAGGUCAUUCGCAACGUUCAGAAGUACCGCGAUGCUGCGAUGAUUGAAAUUGAUGUGCUGCGCACACUUGCCAAGAAUGACAAAUUAGGCACACGACGAUGUGUGCAACUGAAGACUUGGUUUGACUAUCGAAACCAUGUCUGCAUUGUGUGUGAAAGGUUAGGGCCAAGUUUGUAUGAUUUUCUUCGAAAGAACAACUAUCGACCAUUUUUUGCUGAUCUUGUUCGUGAUUUUGGCCGCCAGUUAUUGGAGUCUGUGGCGUAUAUGCAUGAGCUAACCCUCAUUCACACCGAUCUUAAGCCUGAAAACAUCCUAUUGGUCUCUUCUGAGUACUUGAGGGUGCCAGAUUACAAGGCUUCAAAUACGGGAAAACACUUUAAGCGGGUACCAAAAACAAGUGAGAUUAAGCUUAUUGACUUUGGUAGUGCGAUCUUUGACAGCCAUUAUCACUGCUCAGUUGUCUCCACUCGCCAUUAUCGAGCACCAGAAGUUAUUCUAGGACUUGGCUGGACGUAUCCCUGCGACAUAUGGAGUGUCGGCUGCAUACUCGUGGAACUCUGCUCGGGUGAUGCAUUGUUUCAGACUCACGAGAAUUUGGAGCAUUUGGCUAUGAUGGAACGAGUCUUAGGUCCUAUUCCUGUACACAUGAUCAAGAGGGCAGAUCGACGACUAGAAAAGUACUUCAGAUAUGGAAGAGAGUUGAACUGGCCUGAAGGGACAGUAUCAAGGGAGAGUAUCCGAGCUGUGAGGAGGUUACCUAGCCUAAGGAACUUGAUCAUGCGCUAUGUAGACCACUCUGGGGGCCUUCUUAUUGAUCUGCUUCAAGGCUUGCUAAAGUUUGAACCAUCAGAACGACUCACGGCUAAAGAAGCACUUAAGCACCCCUUCUUUAAAGAGUCAAAUCGGCGGUUGUAAGACUCCUGCUAUCGACUGGGAACCCAAACCCCAAAAUCUGAGCAGCGUUGUUCCGUAGGAUUGUCGAAGAAUCGUCUUGUUUUAGCCGAAAGCUGCAGAGUAGGUAAUGCCGAGUGACAGAACGUUCUUUCCAUCGACAAUAGUUUGGCAUGGUUCGAAGAGGUGACUCCCACCGGACAUGCUCCUUAUUCAGUCACUUUCACUCUUUCCAGAAUUGCUCUACGCAAAGGACGCAUCCAUUUGUGUGGGCGCUGUUCAUUCCACAUGUUUCGCAACCUGGGUUUCGCGUGUUAGGUGAAACUGUAUAUGUUUUUUUGAACUCUUAUCCUCAUGAGGGCUGAGGCGGUAGCUUGGUAUCAUUCGAUCUCAAGGAAAUGGAAGCAUUUUCUCGAAGGCACCAAAACCUUAUUGAGAGGAUCUUGGUUACUUUAUACAUAUUGUCUUCUGGUGGCCCUCGUCUCAUAUCAUCAUUGCCAAUGAACAGGGCUAGGGUCAGGGUUUGGGUCCUCGCUUCAGCUGUAUAUUUUUAUUCCCGACAGGUCUUAAGAUUCUUCUCCUUCAAUGACGAAGUAUAUUCGAAAUCAGUGAAUCUGAGCUUGGAGACAAUAUUAUCUUAAAACGGCCACCCUUCGGCACGGGAUAGUACUUCUGUUCGCUCAGUGAAGAAGGUCUAUAAGCAGCAGCGGCCAGUGCAAACUCUUUACUUGCGACGCUAGAUGAGUGCACGCCGACUGGGACAAAUUGCGAACUGCCGUCCCAGAUCGGAUAGUUCUCUGUGACAUUUUUCAGCAGCCUUAUGUUCCCGAACCCAGUCCCUGGGUUCUAAGAGAAAAUCUGGCGGGAUAACGUUGUGUGUGAGGAGUUUUCGUUCAACCUUGUGCGAAUAAAAAGUGGUGCCAGAUUUAAGUUGGUAGCAUGCAGAGUACUUAUUCCUUUGACACACUUGCAUCAUUAACCUGAACGCUGUAGACUAGGAACUGAUCUGCAGAGCUGAUCUUCGUGCUCUUAUCUAUGAUUUGCCACAAAGAUUGCCCUACCUUUGACGUUCAAAACUUGGAAACAGCCAUCUAAUGAGUUUUACUCAUGAAGUGGGUAUUAUUCUCGCCUAUCAAUUUUCUACAUGUUCUCUCAA